RNAcentral lists this ribosomal RNA (520 nucleotides) under uncultured microorganism. Its description in RNAcentral is "bacterial SSU rRNA". It matches the Rfam family "Bacterial small subunit ribosomal RNA", at positions 9 to 523 of the family's 1533-position model. The record is from RNAcentral.
GAGUUUGAUCGUGGCUCAGAUUGAACGCUGGCGGCAGGCCUAACACAUGCAAGUCGAGCGGAUGAAGGGAGCUUGCUCCUGGAUUCAGCGGCGGACGGGUGAGUAAUGCCUAGGAAUCUGCCUGGUAGUGGGGAUAACGUCCGGAAACGGGCGCUAAUACCGCAUACGUCCUGAGGGAGAAAGUGGGGGAGUCUUCGGACCUCACGCUAUCAGAUGAGCCUAGGUCGGAUUAGCUAGUUGGUGGGGUAAAGGCCUACCAAGGCGACGAUCCGUAACUGGUCUGAGAGGAUGAUCAGUCACACUGGAACUGAGACACGGUCCAGACUCCUACGGGAGGCAGCAGUGGGGAAUAUUGGACAAUGGGCGGAAAGCCUGAUCCAGCCAUGCCGCGUGUGUGAAGAAGGUCUUCGGAUUGUAAAGCACUUUAAGUUGGGAGGAAGGGCAGUAAGUUAAUACCUUGCUGUUUUGACGUUACCAACAGAAUAAGCACCGGCUAACUUCGUGCCAGCAGCCGCGGUAA